Delphinapterus leucas (beluga whale) is the source of this 220-nucleotide non-coding RNA. Lineage: Eukaryota; Metazoa; Chordata; Mammalia; Artiodactyla; Monodontidae. The record is from RefSeq and is a predicted model, not a curated record.
UCUGGCUGAACUUCAGAUAAGAGACCGUGCUGCUGGCUGUCCCUGAAAUUGAAUCUGGAGAGGCUCGGGCUAUGAGGACAUCAUGAACCACAGAUGGUGGAGGUAACACACAGAUGGAGAAAUAAUGGCAUGCUCAUAUGCUCAUGAUAAUGACCCAAUAGGAACAGAAAAACUGCUGAUGUAAGAGAAGGAAGAGAAUUGCUGGAGCGAAACCUUUGGG